This is a long non-coding RNA of Bradysia coprophila, 159 nucleotides long. The record is from RefSeq and is a predicted model, not a curated record. NCBI's taxonomy places the organism in Eukaryota, Metazoa, Arthropoda, Insecta, Diptera, Sciaridae.
UCAAUACAAAAAAAUGUGUAAAUCUGGAAAAUCCGGUAAAUGCUUUUUUAAAAUUAAUUAAUGUUUUUUAUUUUUAACAUAAAACUGACACCAUUCGGAAUAAUUUCGCCCAUGGAACCAUGUCAAAAAUAUUUCAUUUUAUAUUUUUAAAUAAAUUUU